AUGCACAAAUACCCGCUCCCCCUCCAUUAUACAUCUAGUUCAGCCCCCUCUCUUCUGCCCCUCUGUGGACAUGUACAGGCACUACAGGUUGGACCAACCCACCAGGCAUCAGCCACAUCUCAGAUGAAACAGUUCAUCCUCGUGUCCUCGUGUCCUCAUCUCAUCAUGUCCUCAUCUCAUUGUGUCCUCAUGACCUCAUCUCAUCGUGUCCUCAUGUCAUCGUGUCCUCAUGUCCUCAUCUCAUCGUGUCCUCAUCUCCGUGUCCUCAUGUCAUCGUGUCCUCAUGUCCUCGUCUCAUCGUGUCCUCAUCUCCUCAUCGUGUCAUCGUGUCCUCAUGUCCUCAUCAUGUCAUCGUGUCCUCAUGUCCUUGUGUCCUCGUCUCAUUGUGUCCUCAUCUCCUCAUUGUGUCCUCAUCUCCUCAUCAUGUCAUUGUGUCCUCAUGUCCUUGUGUCCUCGUCUCAUCGUGUCCUCAUCUCCUCAUCGUGUCCUCAUGACCUCAUCUCAUCGUGUCCUCAUCUCAUCGUGUCCUCUUGUCCUCAUCUCAUCGUGUCCUCGUCUCAUCGUGUCCUCUUGUCCUCAUCUCAUUGUGUCCUCGUGUCCUCAUCUCAUUGUGUCCUCAUGUCCUCGUGUCCACAUCCCAUCGUGUCCUCAUGUCCUCAUCACCUCAUGUCCUCAUCUCAUUGUGUCCUCAUGUCCUCAUCACAUCGUGUCCUCAUGUCCUCGUGUCCUCAUCUCAUCGUGUCCUCAUGUCCUCAUCACAUCGUGUCCUCAUGUCCUCAUCUCAUCGUGUCCUCAUGUCCUCAUCUCAUCAUGUCCUCAUGUCCUCAUCACAUCGUGUCCUCGUGUCCUCAUCUCAUCAUGUCCUCAUCUCAUCGUGUCCUCAUGUCCUCAUGUCCUCGUGUCCUCAUUUGUGAAUUGUUUGUUUUGUUUGUUCAUACUUACCACUGUCUGUUCCCGCCAUUCAGAGAGGCCCCGCCCACAACUUCCUGGUUCAUAUGGUGUUGGUGA
This 1008-nucleotide long non-coding RNA is filed under the name Scophthalmus maximus (turbot). RNAcentral's name for it is "lncRNA (ENSSMAG00000025920.1)". Lineage: Eukaryota; Metazoa; Chordata; Actinopteri; Pleuronectiformes; Scophthalmidae. The record is from RNAcentral.